Molecule: ribosomal RNA, 253 nt
Filed under: uncultured bacterium
Lineage: Bacteria
Description: partial 16S ribosomal RNA
Rfam family: Bacterial small subunit ribosomal RNA
Source: RNAcentral
UACGUAGGGUGCGAGCGUUAAUCGGAAUUACUGGGCGUAAAGCGUGCGCAGGCGGUUUUGUAAGCCAGAUGUGAAAUCCCCGGGCUUAACCUGGGAAUGGCAUUUGGGACUGCAAGGCUGGAGUGCGGCAGAGGAGACUGGAAUUCCUGGUGUAGCAGUGAAAUGCGUAGAUAUCGGAAGGAACACCGGUGGCGAAGGCGGAUGCCUGGCCCAAUACUGACGCUGAGGCACGAAAGCGUGGGUAGCGAACAGG